Molecule: long non-coding RNA, 251 nt
Organism: Gossypium arboreum
Lineage: Eukaryota; Viridiplantae; Streptophyta; Magnoliopsida; Malvales; Malvaceae
Exons: 2
Source: RefSeq, a predicted model, not a curated record
GAUCAAGAAUCCAAAGAAGAACGAGGAAAAGAAAAAGUUGCGGAAUAGUCCCAAAAUUUCAAUAUCUUCUACAAAUUAGCCGGAUUGACUUGAAGUGAAGUGGGUAGAUCGAAUCAACACAACAAAGCACACUACCCAGGUCAAUUCCGGUAGCUUUUGUUUUAUGUUUGAAGAUUUAUAUGGCAUGUAUAGAGUUUAAAUGAAGUGAAGUAAAGAUGUUAUAAACUAGUUAACAACAUUUUGUACUAAAA